RNAcentral lists this ribosomal RNA (492 nucleotides) under uncultured bacterium. RNAcentral describes it as "partial 16S ribosomal RNA". It matches the Rfam family "Bacterial small subunit ribosomal RNA", at positions 29 to 507 of the family's 1533-position model. The record is from RNAcentral.
AGUGAACGCUGGCGGUAGGCCUAACACAUGCAAGUCGAACGGCAGCACAGUAAGAGCUUGCUCUUACGGGUGGCGAGUGGCGGACGGGUGAGGAAUACAUCGGAAUCUACUUUUUCGUGGGGGAUAACGUAGGGAAACUUACGCUAAUACCGCAUACGACCUACGGGUGAAAGCAGGGGAUCUUCGGACCUUGCGCGAUUGAAUGAGCCGAUGUCGGAUUAGCUAGUUGGCGGGGGAAAGGCCCACCAAGGCGACGAUCCGUAGCUGGUCUGAGAGGAUGAUCAGCCACACUGGAACUGAGACACGGUCCAGACUCCUACGGGAGGCAGCAGUGGGGAAUAUUGGACAAUGGGCGCAAGCCUGAUCCAGCCAUACCGCGUGGGUGAAGAAGGCCUUCGGGUUGUAAAGCCCUUUUGUUGGGGAAGAAAAGCAGCAGGUUAAUACCCCGCUGUUCUGACGGUACCCAAAGAAUAAGCACCGGCUAACUUCGUG